GAAAUACCUCCAUGAGAUCCAUCUAUAAGGCAUUUCCUCAACUAGUGAGCAAUGGGGGCGGGCCAUUGUGGGUGGUACCAUCCCUGAGCUGGUAGUCCUG
This 100-nucleotide microRNA precursor is filed under the name Microtus ochrogaster (prairie vole). RNAcentral describes it as "miRNA (ENSMOCG00000009315.1)". Lineage: Eukaryota; Metazoa; Chordata; Mammalia; Rodentia; Cricetidae. The record is from RNAcentral.